GAUGAACGCUGGCGGCGUGCUUAACACAUGCAAGUCGAACGAAGCACCUCUCCCGAAGAUUGACACAGCUUGCUGUAGAUUGAUUCAUUUGAGGUGACUGAGUGGCGGACGGGUGAGUAACGCGUGGGUAACCUGCCUCAUAGAGGGGGACAACAGUUGGAAACGACUGCUAAUACCGCAUAGUAAGAAGAAUUCGCAUGUUUUCUUCUUGAAAGAUUUAUCGCUAUGAGAUGGACCCGCGUCUGAUUAGCUAGUUGGUAAGGUAACGGCUUACCAAGGCGACGAUCAGUAGCUGGCUUGAGAGAGUGAACGGCCACAUUGGGACUGAGACACGGCCCAAACUCCUACGGGAGGCAGCAGUGGGGAAUAUUGCACAAUGGGGGAAACCCUGAUGCAGCGACGCCGCGUGAGUGAAGAAGUAUUUCGGUAUGUAAAGCUCUAUCAGCAGGGAAGAUAAUGACGGUACCUGACUAAGAAGCCCCGGCUAACUACGUG
RNAcentral lists this ribosomal RNA (495 nucleotides) under uncultured bacterium. Its description in RNAcentral is "partial 16S ribosomal RNA". It matches the Rfam family "Bacterial small subunit ribosomal RNA", at positions 28 to 507 of the family's 1533-position model. The record is from RNAcentral.